This is a long non-coding RNA of Syzygium oleosum, 937 nucleotides long. RefSeq lists it as uncharacterized. The record is from RefSeq and is a predicted model, not a curated record. Lineage: Eukaryota; Viridiplantae; Streptophyta; Magnoliopsida; Myrtales; Myrtaceae. The transcript has 3 exons.
UCCAGAGUAGGCUCGACCAAUUCUUUUUUUUUCCAAGUAUCUCUCUGUUUCAUUUCGUUUUUCGAGCAUCCUUAGUUUGCCGCAUGCUGCUUGGUGAAUCCUCCUGUAUACACGAUCGGUGUGUAGAUGUAGGUGUUGCUUCAAGUAGAUGUUAUGUGAUUAUUUUUGAAGUUGUGAGUCAGGCCUCUUACUCGCGUUUGUGCAUUGAAAUACCAUAUGCUCGAUCUCAACCACCUUCUUCAUUCUCUUAAGGAUGCUUAACCCACGGAAGGAUAUUUCGAAGAAGAAGAAAGGAGGCACCAGCAGCUCUGCUCCUGCGAUGCCAGAGCGUCCUCCUCCCUGGCUUUUGUCCUUUUUAUGUCACUAAAGCUGCAGAGGAUAAAUGGGACUCGAUGUCUGAAGCUGAGAAAAUUCCAUAUGAAAUAAAAGCCUUGGAGACGAGCGCAGCCUUUGACAGAGGUGCGGAAUUCUGUAAAAUGAUGAUGAAUGUCCCGAAAGCUAGAACUGGUGGUCCAAUGAUGUAAUGAACUUCUCAGUUCUUUCUUUGCUUUGCACGUUUUGAUAAAAUUAGGUAACUUCUAUGGUGACUCGUAUUUUCAGCCUGGUUCUUGAUUUGGGCAAACCUUAGUGUUCCUGUUAGUUUGGUAUUAUCGCGUCUGAGCUGGGCAUAUGAUAUGCCUGCGUUCUUAGUAUCCUCCUAUAGAUUCUUGGCCGGAAAACCUGCAUUAUUGUUUGUUGUCCGAAGGGCCAGGUUUCAGAACACAUCCGCUUAUGUCAUAUUUGUCGAUGUGGCUUGAACUGUGACAGCUACUAGACUUGCGAGCAUUGAUGUUUUGCUGAAUGAAAGUGGGAUUACCUGGCAGAGGUUGUAGGACAGCAACAAACAUAUGGAAACAACGAAAGAAACCAAUUAUCGGUAGUUGGACUAUUAUGAAUG